RNAcentral lists this long non-coding RNA (1560 nucleotides) under Lotus japonicus. RNAcentral describes it as "long non-coding RNA (LJAP_LNC000024)". Lineage: Eukaryota; Viridiplantae; Streptophyta; Magnoliopsida; Fabales; Fabaceae. The record is from RNAcentral.
UGAUAGGCCAUCUGCAAGUGUACAGACUUAACCCGGUUUUAAUAAUUAUCGAACCACGGAGACCUGAGGAUUGAAUCUUUAGUUUCUAUUGCCAAAGUUUGAAGUGAGAAAACAAUAAAUAUCAUAUACAAUUGAGUUGAUUGUGUAGCAAGGUAAACAGUGAUAUGAUAAGUAAAAUAUAUAAGAGAAGAAUGCUUUGGGUUUAUAAUCCACUAAUUUAGGGUAAGUAGCCAAGUUCUAAUUCAUGUUAUUCUCUAAGUGAAAUCUAGAUGAUUUAAUCUCAUUAAUUACUUGUCGAUUUUGCCGUACGAGUAAUCCUUUUAAGCUAAAACCAGUCACAAUGUCUUGUUAUUCCGUGAAUUAACUUAAAGCAUUAAGAAAGAUAAGUCGGAUCAACAAACUUGAAGGCCAUCCCCAUGUCUAGUGUAAUGAAACAAAUCAAGUAACUUCAAAACAGGAUCCCUAAUUCCAAAUCUCCGGUCGGUUUCAAAGAAAUUAGUAAGAGGCUAACAUGCAUACAAGCUUGAAUCAACGGAAGGAAGCUAAUCCUAGGCUUGUUUAAUUCAGUGAGAAGCAAGCAUACAUGAAAAUAAUAAGUUCAGAAGUUGAAGUUCUAGCAUAAAGAUAACAUGAGUUAGAACAAGGAUUUAUAACCUACUCAUUUAUUAGCUUCAUAAAAACCCAAAACAUAAAGAAGUUUAGCCAAGCAUGGCUAUGGAGAACAAGAUCAUACCUUUGGAGAAGGCCAUGGCUUGCUCACAAAUGGAAGAAGAAACUAAGCUAUUACAAGAGAAACUAGAGCUAUUUUAUGCUAGAAUGAUGGUGUGAAGGGAUGACAAUGAAGGAGAGCUUAAGGGUCUAUUUAUAGUAUUUUUGAGUGCCAAAACCGUGGUGGUGGUUGGCCUCUUGAUCAUGAAAGCUCCACUUUCUUUUUCUUUAAAGCUUGUGCUUUAUCUUUUGCUUUAUCUUGCUUUUGUCUUUGUCCCCCAUUCAAGUCACUUUAACCACACCUUGGGACCUCCAUUAUCAUCAUGAAUCAGCUGAUAAUCACAUUACUUCAUGUGGGCUUUGUCCCUUCAUGAUUGUGGGAAGAAAUUGAGUUUUGGUCCCUCAACCCGUGGGUGUUGGACAGCUCAGACCUCUUUUAGAAAAACGGUCAUUGUGACGUGAUUAACCGUUGGAUUGGCCUGAAAUUUGGAUAUGUUGUUCCCAACCCAUUGAUCUUCAAUAUGAACCGUCGGAUUGUCAAGCAAAUGUCUGAGUUGUGAGAAAUGGCUCACGCAAUAAGCACCAGAAAAUCUGAAGCCAAACUGCAUUCAUCCUUCUUUGGACAGCUUAUUUCCUUUUGUUUGCCCAUGCUUCUCUUGCAUUGUUUAGUCAUACUUUCAAGGAACACUCCAUGAGAAAAUUUGCAAGCUGAAUCAAUGUAUAUUCAUAAAGCAAAGUUUGAUUUUUUAAUCAUUCUUUAUGAAUCAUUCUUUAUUCCAUGCUCUUGCUUUUCUUUCUUUAUCUUGUCCAAGCUACUUUUGCCAUGUUCUCUUGCUUUUCUUUCUACUUUUG